GAUGAAGAACGCAGCGAAAUGCGAUAAGUAAUGUGAAUUGCAGAAUUCAGUGAAUCAUCGAAUCUUUGAACGCACAUUGCGCCCGCCAGUAUUCUGGCGGGCAUGCCUGUCCGAGCGUCAUUUCAACCAUCAAGCCCCCGGGCUUGUGUUGGGGACCUGCGGCUGCCCGCAGGCCCUGAAAACCAGUGGCGGGCUCGCUGUCACACCGAGCGUAGUAGCAAUCACCUCGCUCAGGGCGUGCUGCGGGUUCCGGCCGUUAAACAGCCUUACAAAACCCAAGGUUGACCUCGGAUCAGGUAGGAAGACCCGCUGAACUUAAGCAUAUCAAUAAGCUGAGGA
This 339-nucleotide unclassified non-coding RNA is filed under the name soil metagenome. Its description in RNAcentral is "partial contains 5.8S ribosomal RNA, internal transcribed spacer 2, and large subunit ribosomal RNA". The stretch from base 1 to 120 matches the Rfam family "5.8S ribosomal RNA", at positions 35 to 154 of the family's 154-position model. The record is from RNAcentral.